This 429-nucleotide ribosomal RNA is filed under the name Chloroflexota bacterium. Its description in RNAcentral is "Chloroflexi bacterium partial 16S ribosomal RNA". It matches the Rfam family "Bacterial small subunit ribosomal RNA", at positions 355 to 776 of the family's 1533-position model. Lineage: Bacteria; Bacillati; Chloroflexota. The record is from RNAcentral.
UAGGGAAUCUUCGGCAAUGGACGAAAGUCUGACCGAGCAACGCCGCGUGAGUGAAGAAGGUUUUCGGAUCGUAAAACUCUGUUGUUAGAGAAGAACAAGGACGUUAGUAACUGAACGUCCCCUGACGGUAUCUAACCAGAAAGCCACGGCUAACUACGUGCCAGCAGCCGCGGUAAUACGUAGGUGGCAAGCGUUGUCCGGAUUUAUUGGGCGUAAAGCGAGCGCAGGCGGUUUCUUAAGUCUGAUGUGAAAGCCCCCGGCUCAACCGGGGAGGGUCAUUGGAGACUGGGAGACUUGAGUGCAGAAGAGGGGGGUGGAAUUCCAUGUGUAGCGGUGAAAUGCGUAGAUAUAUGGAGGAACACCAGUGGCGAAAGCGGCUCUCUGGUCUGUAACUGACGCUGAGGCUCGAAAGCGUGGGGAGCAAACAGG